RNAcentral lists this ribosomal RNA (2803 nucleotides) under Escherichia coli. RNAcentral's name for it is "partial 23S ribosomal RNA". It matches the Rfam family "Bacterial large subunit ribosomal RNA". The record is from RNAcentral. Lineage: Bacteria; Pseudomonadati; Pseudomonadota; Gammaproteobacteria; Enterobacterales; Enterobacteriaceae.
GGGUUGUGAGGUUAAGCGACUAAGCGUACACGGUGGAUGCCCUGGCAGUCAGAGGCGAUGAAGGACGUGCUAAUCUGCGAUAAGCGUCGGUAAGGUGAUAUGAACCGUUAUAACCGGCGAUUUCCGAAUGGGGAAACCCAGUGUGUUUCGACACACUAUCAUUAACUGAAUCCAUAGGUUAAUGAGGCGAACCGGGGGAACUGAAACAUCUAAGUACCCCGAGGAAAAGAAAUCAACCGAGAUUCCCCCAGUAGCGGCGAGCGAACGGGGAGCAGCCCAGAGCCUGAAUCAGUGUGUGUGUUAGUGGAAGCGUCUGGAAAGGCGCGCGAUACAGGGUGACAGCCCCGUACACAAAAAUGCACAUGCUGUGAGCUCGAUGAGUAGGGCGGGACACGUGGUAUCCUGUCUGAAUAUGGGGGGACCAUCCUCCAAGGCUAAAUACUCCUGACUGACCGAUAGUGAACCAGUACCGUGAGGGAAAGGCGAAAAGAACCCCGGCGAGGGGAGUGAAAAAGAACCUGAAACCGUGUACGUACAAGCAGUGGGAGCACGCUUAGGCGUGUGACUGCGUACCUUUUGUAUAAUGGGUCAGCGACUUAUAUUCUGUAGCAAGGUUAACCGAAUAGGGGAGCCGAAGGGAAACCGAGUCUUAACUGGGCGUUAAGUUGCAGGGUAUAGACCCGAAACCCGGUGAUCUAGCCAUGGGCAGGUUGAAGGUUGGGUAACACUAACUGGAGGACCGAACCGACUAAUGUUGAAAAAUUAGCGGAUGACUUGUGGCUGGGGGUGAAAGGCCAAUCAAACCGGGAGAUAGCUGGUUCUCCCCGAAAGCUAUUUAGGUAGCGCCUCGUGAAUUCAUCUCCGGGGGUAGAGCACUGUUUCGGCAAGGGGGUCAUCCCGACUUACCAACCCGAUGCAAACUGCGAAUACCGGAGAAUGUUAUCACGGGAGACACACGGCGGGUGCUAACGUCCGUCGUGAAGAGGGAAACAACCCAGACCGCCAGCUAAGGUCCCAAAGUCAUGGUUAAGUGGGAAACGAUGUGGGAAGGCCCAGACAGCCAGGAUGUUGGCUUAGAAGCAGCCAUCAUUUAAAGAAAGCGUAAUAGCUCACUGGUCGAGUCGGCCUGCGCGGAAGAUGUAACGGGGCUAAACCAUGCACCGAAGCUGCGGCAGCGACACUAUGUGUUGUUGGGUAGGGGAGCGUUCUGUAAGCCUGUGAAGGUGUACUGUGAGGUAUGCUGGAGGUAUCAGAAGUGCGAAUGCUGACAUAAGUAACGAUAAAGCGGGUGAAAAGCCCGCUCGCCGGAAGACCAAGGGUUCCUGUCCAACGUUAAUCGGGGCAGGGUGAGUCGACCCCUAAGGCGAGGCCGAAAGGCGUAGUCGAUGGGAAACAGGUUAAUAUUCCUGUACUUGGUGUUACUGCGAAGGGGGGACGGAGAAGGCUAUGUUGGCCGGGCGACGGUUGUCCCGGUUUAAGCGUGUAGGCUGGUUUUCCAGGCAAAUCCGGAAAAUCAAGGCUGAGGCGUGAUGACGAGGCACUACGGUGCUGAAGCAACAAAUGCCCUGCUUCCAGGAAAAGCCUCUAAGCAUCAGGUAACAUCAAAUCGUACCCCAAACCGACACAGGUGGUCAGGUAGAGAAUACCAAGGCGCUUGAGAGAACUCGGGUGAAGGAACUAGGCAAAAUGGUGCCGUAACUUCGGGAGAAGGCACGCUGAUAUGUAGGUGAAGUCCCUCGCGGAUGGAGCUGAAAUCAGUCGAAGAUACCAGCUGGCUGCAACUGUUUAUUAAAAACACAGCACUGUGCAAACACGAAAGUGGACGUAUACGGUGUGACGCCUGCCCGGUGCCGGAAGGUUAAUUGAUGGGGUUAGCCGCAAGGCGAAGCUCUUGAUCGAAGCCCCGGUAAACGGCGGCCGUAACUAUAACGGUCCUAAGGUAGCGAAAUUCCUUGUCGGGUAAGUUCCGACCUGCACGAAUGGCGUAAUGAUGGCCAGGCUGUCUCCACCCGAGACUCAGUGAAAUUGAACUCGCUGUGAAGAUGCAGUGUACCCGCGGCAAGACGGAAAGACCCCGUGAACCUUUACUAUAGCUUGACACUGAACAUUGAGCCUUGAUGUGUAGGAUAGGUGGGAGGCUUGGAAGUGUGGACGCCAGUCUGCAUGGAGCCGACCUUGAAAUACCACCCUUUAAUGUUUGAUGUUCUAACGUUGACCCGUAAUCCGGGUUGCGGACAGUGUCUGGUGGGUAGUUUGACUGGGGCGGUCUCCUCCUAAAGAGUAACGGAGGAGCACGAAGGUUGGCUAAUCCUGGUCGGACAUCAGGAGGUUAGUGCAAUGGCAUAAGCCAGCUUGACUGCGAGCGUGACGGCGCGAGCAGGUGCGAAAGCAGGUCAUAGUGAUCCGGUGGUUCUGAAUGGAAGGGCCAUCGCUCAACGGAUAAAAGGUACUCCGGGGAUAACAGGCUGAUACCGCCCAAGAGUUCAUAUCGACGGCGGUGUUUGGCACCUCGAUGUCGGCUCAUCACAUCCUGGGGCUGAAGUAGGUCCCAAGGGUAUGGCUGUUCGCCAUUUAAAGUGGUACGCGAGCUGGGUUUAGAACGUCGUGAGACAGUUCGGUCCCUAUCUGCCGUGGGCGCUGGAGAACUGAGGGGGGCUGCUCCUAGUACGAGAGGACCGGAGUGGACGCAUCACUGGUGUUCGGGUUGUCAUGCCAAUGGCACUGCCCGGUAGCUAAAUGCGGAAGAGAUAAGUGCUGAAAGCAUCUAAGCACGAAACUUGCCCCGAGAUGAGUUCUCCCUGAC